RNAcentral lists this small nuclear RNA (105 nucleotides) under Peromyscus maniculatus bairdii (prairie deer mouse). Lineage: Eukaryota; Metazoa; Chordata; Mammalia; Rodentia; Cricetidae. The record is from RNAcentral.
UUGCUCCGGCAGCACAUGUGCUGAAUUUGGAAUGAUACAGAGGAUAUUAACAUGACCCCCCUACAUAAGUAUGAUGCUCAAAUUUAGGAAGUGUUCCAUAUUUAA